This 253-nucleotide ribosomal RNA is filed under the name uncultured bacterium. Its description in RNAcentral is "partial 16S ribosomal RNA". It matches the Rfam family "Bacterial small subunit ribosomal RNA", at positions 524 to 776 of the family's 1533-position model. The record is from RNAcentral.
UACGGAGGGUGCAAGCGUUGUUCGGAAUCACUGGGCGUAAAGGGCGCGUAGGCGGCCUGUCAAGUCUGAUGUGAAAGCCCGGGGCUCAACCCCGGAAGUGCAUUGGAAACUGGCAAGCUUGAGUUCGGGAGAGGAGGGCAGAAUUCCUGGUGUAGGGGUGAAAUCCGUAGAUAUCAGGAGGAAAAUCAGUGGCGAAGGCGGCCCUCUGGAACGAAACUGACGCUGAGGCGCGAAAGCGUGGGGAGCAAACAGG